This 897-nucleotide long non-coding RNA is filed under the name Nothobranchius furzeri (turquoise killifish). RNAcentral's name for it is "lncRNA (ENSNFUG00015009349.1)". The record is from RNAcentral. Lineage: Eukaryota; Metazoa; Chordata; Actinopteri; Cyprinodontiformes; Nothobranchiidae.
AUGAAGAAGGUGAUCCUCCCCUGUGUUUGGAAAAUGGCUCUGAGUAGCAACGUGACAUCUGAGGUGAAUUUGUGGUUUGAUGUACUGUUGAAGAACUACCUGAGAUUCCUCACAAGGAACCUCAUCAGCCCCAUCGAAGUGCAGAGCGCCUCAUGUCAGGCCUUCCAAAAACUGGUGUUUUAUAUGGGAAACAAUUUCACAUACAACAGUACAGAAUUUGGACCGGAGGAUGUGUACAACACCAUAAGGAGCUACUUGAGCACUGGCUCUGGAGCCAGAUGCUACAAUCCCAGCGACCCAGAACUCAACUCUACCUCCUGGUUUUUCAACUAUAUUGGAAGCUUUGUGAAAUUUAUCACUCUGAAUGACCUCACCAGCUUUAUCUCCACAUCCCAGGCUGAGGUGUUUUGGGAAGACCAAGCUAAUCUGGAGCUUUUCAACAACUCGACAAUUGCUGUAGAUAUAAGAAAUUACUACAUCACUCAGCUGUUUACAGUCAACCCAAGCUUCAGCCUGUUCAAGCUUUUGGGUGUUUUGUUGUGCUCAACUGCCAUCCCAAGUUCAGUGUAUUUGUCUCUAAACGAAGCUAACACCGUGGCCAUCGUGGACAUGAGGAGCAGAUUUUGCUAUGGAAUCGAGGACCCUCAGGCAUCUGCUGCUUUGGCAUCCAACAUCAAGAACAUCACAGCCCAAACGAUUGUUACCUUAGGGGGAGCUGCUUCAGGCCUGAGCAACACUCAGAUCACUUCAGUACCUCCAGCGGUGCUGAUUUCCUCGUUGUCCACUUUGGGUUCAGUGACAACCUGGGGCCAGGAUCAGGCCAACAUCAUUAUUCAAAGCAUAACUUCCUCAGGCUACCAGGUAGAAGCUGUGGACCAUGAUAACCAUUUGAAAUAG